Molecule: ribosomal RNA, 465 nt
Filed under: uncultured bacterium
Lineage: Bacteria
Description: partial 16S ribosomal RNA
Rfam family: Bacterial small subunit ribosomal RNA
Source: RNAcentral
GACGAACGCUGGCGGCGUGCUUAACACAUGCAAGUCGAGCGGAAAGGCCCCCUUGUGGGGUACUCGAGUGGCGAACGGGUGAGUAACACGUGAGUAACCUACCCUUGACUUUGGGAUAACUUCAGGAAACUGGGGCUAAUACCGGAUAGGAGCUCCUGCUGCAUGGUGGGGGUUGGAAAGUUUCGGCGGUUGGGGAUGGACUCGCGGCUUAUCAGCUUGUUGGUGGGGUAGUGGCUCACCAAGGCUUUGACGGGUAGCCGGCCUGAGAGGGUGACCGGCCACAUUGGGACUGAGAUACGGCCCAGACUCCUACGGGAGGCAGCAGUGGGGAAUAUUGCACAAUGGGCGGAAGCCUGAUGCAGCAACGCCGCGUGCGGGAUGACGGCCUUCGGGUUGUAAACCGCUUUCGCCUGUGACGAAGCGUGAGUGGCGGUAAUGGGUAAAGAAGCACCGGCUAACUACGUG